GAGUCUCUCCCACAGUGUUUUUAGUGUUCCUUCCGACUGCCGGACUUUUAAUCCGCUGGUCGCUGGUUCGAUUCCAGCACGGCCCACCA
RNAcentral lists this transfer RNA (89 nucleotides) under Xylella taiwanensis. RNAcentral's name for it is "tRNA-Lys". Lineage: Bacteria; Pseudomonadati; Pseudomonadota; Gammaproteobacteria; Lysobacterales; Lysobacteraceae. The record is from RNAcentral.